This 463-nucleotide ribosomal RNA is filed under the name uncultured bacterium. RNAcentral's name for it is "partial 16S ribosomal RNA". It matches the Rfam family "Bacterial small subunit ribosomal RNA", at positions 339 to 795 of the family's 1533-position model. The record is from RNAcentral.
CUACGGGUCGCAGCAGUGGGGAAUAUUGCACAAUGGGCGCAAGCCUGAUGCAGCCAUGCCGCGUGUAUGAAGAAGGCCUUCGGGUUGUAAAGUACUUUCAGCGGGGAGGAAGGGAGUAAAGUUAAUACCUUUGCUCAUUGACGUUACCCGCAGAAGAAGCACCGGCUAACUCCGUGCCAGCAGCCGCGGUAAUACGGAGGGUGCAAGCGUUAAUCGGAAUUACUGGGCGUAAAGCGCACGCAGGCGGUUUGUUAAGUCAGAUGUGAAAUCCCCGGGCUCAACCUGGGAACUGCAUCUGAUACUGGCAAGCUUGAGUCUCGUAGAGGGGGGUAGAAUUCCAGGUGUAGCGGUGCAAUGCGUAGAGAUCUGGAGGAAUACCGGUGGCGAAGGCGGCCCCUGGACGAAGACUGACGCUCAGGUGCGAAAGCGUGGGGAGCAAACAGGAUUAGAUACCCCGGUAGUC